UCCCGUUUGUGUGUGCAUUGUUAUUUAAAUUAGGUUAGAAGGCUAAUCAGUAAAGCUUAUAUUUUGCUCGUAAAUCUGCAAUGUGAGUCAUUCCUCUUUUAUAAACUCUUUUCUCACAGUUUGUGAGUCAGUCUCUUUUUAUCAACUGUUUUACAAAACUCCAAGUUAUUUUCAAAGUUAUAAUUACAGGGAUUAAGUCUUUGUAAUCACCAUAUUACAGCCGGUAUGUGGGGUUUUGUAUACAUUACUUGUUUCCCGUCACACUUGGACAAACGGGUGGCCAAGGGGUGAUCUGACCACAGUCACAGACACCAUUGGACAAAUGGGCUAGCCAAUGGAUGGUCGAGUGACAAAUACUGUGACAACUCGAAUUUCUAAGAUUUUAUUUCGUAUUUAUUGCACGUUCAUGUAAUUGCACAAUUGAUUUCCAUGAAAUUAUAUAUGUUCUGAUUGUUUGAUUGUGUAUAGUUGAUGGUUAUUUGUGAAACUUGUCAAAUGUGUAAAUUUGGUGGUGGAACUAUGAAACAGUAAACUUGUCAAAUAUGAGAUGGUGUGCACUUGUAAAUUAUAAUACUUAGGGAUGUAGAUGGUAAUUAGUGAAAUCCUAAAUACUUAACCCUAAUCUCAUUUCUCUAAUCAUUUGCACACAAAACUAAAUCACGUACUUGCAACUCUCUAAUCCCUUAGCAAUCAUCAUCACCCUCAUCAUUGACAAGAUAAUCAUCACACUUGAUUCCUAUUUCUCUAGAAUCAUUCAAGGUAAUUGUGUUAUCAUUUGUUAUUAAUCGUUUGAUUGUUAGCAAUGCUUAAUUCUUGUAAUGCGUUCAGAUAAUCAAUUGAUUGAUGAUUGUGAUGUGUGAGAUGUAGACAUAGAGGUCAUUGCUUUGAUCUGUAUAUUGAAAACGUAUGAAUUAGGGUUUUCAUGUUCGUAUGAUACCAAUACGUAACCGUUCUGAUCCUGUUGAUUCUGUGCAAAUUGAUGAUAUUGUUGUCUGAGUUUGUAAAUAAUGAAUGCACUAUGGUCCGAAUAUAAUAUCCUCCUAAGGUCCGAGUUUAAUGGACUUGUUUUGGUCCGAGUUUAAUUGGACCAUCAUGGUCCGAGUUUAAAUAAAAUGAAGAUGUCCGAGUUUAAUUGAAUUAACUUUGGUCCGAGUUACAUAAAUUGACCUUGUCCGAGUAUGAUGCUUUUAAUUGGUCCGACUUUAAAUGGUUUAUAGUGGCCCGAGUUUAAAUAAAAUGAAGUGGUCCGAGUAUAAUUGGACCAUUUGGUCCGAGUUUAAUCAAAUUAACCUAAUGGUCCGAGUUUAUUUAGUUUGAAUGGACCGAGUUUAAUAACUGAUUUAUAAUGGUCCGAACAUAAUUGAUGUAUAGUGGCCCGAACUUAAUUGAUUUGUAAUUGGUCCGAGUUUAUUGUUGGUGUUUGGACCGAGUUUAAUAGUAUAUCACAUGGUCCGAGUUUGUUCAACAAAUGAUGGGCCGAGUUUAAUAUGAUGACAUUGGGCCCGAGUUUAAAGAAUGUAUCAAGGGUCCAAGCUUGAGUGUGUAACAUGACAGUCUGAGUUUAUUGUAUGAUUACAUGUGCUAUCCGAAUCUUUAACAGGGGAGACCCCCCCCCCCCCUAUACUUGUCUGGGUUUUGAGAGAUGCAUGAUCCUGUAAAUGUCCAUAUGAAUUACGUGAAUUGUAUGAAUGGAUUACUAUUACGUGAUACAUGAUUGAUACAUGAUAUUGGCUAUCAAACACUAUGUGACACUUGAUUACAGGCGUGUCAUUACGAACAUGAACUGAUUUGUUAUACGUGCAAACAAUAGGACUUGAUUAAUUACUUGUGAGUGCAUAACCUAGCAUACCGAGCAAACCAAGGUGAGUUCACACUCUUACCAAGGCAUGGGAUUCCCGGGGUGUUGGGAAUGGGAUUGAAAGGUUGAUUAGAUACACUAUUGACACUAUGACUAGACUACCACAUUACUAUCCUCGGAUGUGAAGGAUACUUAUGCUGAUCACUAUCCUCGGAUGUGAAGGAUACUUAUACUGAUCACUAUCCUCGGUUGUGAAGGAUACCUAUAGUUACGAGUAGUCUAGUGGUUAUACAACGUGGAACACCACCACCAAUAACGUGGAACACCACCACCAAUAACGUGGAACACCACCACCAAUAACGUGGAACACCACCACCAAUAACGUGGAACACCACCACCAAUAACGUGGAACACCACCACCAAUAACGUGGAACACCACCACCAAUAACGUGGAACACCACCACCAAUAACGUGGAACACCACCACCAAUAGAACAUACAAACGGCCCAGUAGAGCCACCUGUUACAAACGAACUUACUAUUACGCAUUUACUUUCUGUGAACUCGCUCAACUAGUUUGUUGAUCAUUCUGUUACAUGCCUUGCAGAUCGUUAGGUACUUGGAGCUUGCACUGGAGAAGCGGGUCGUUGUGGACAAGGAUCGUGGCUUUUCUGUUGAGCUAUUAUGACACUUAAAACUGUUAACUACUACUGGUUUAUUUACUAUGCUUCCGCUACAUUUUUGAAACGAUGAUUUGUUUGAUCACCUUUUGUAUUGAAUGGAUGGUUUUCAGUUAUUUUACU
Molecule: long non-coding RNA, 2600 nt
Filed under: Helianthus annuus (common sunflower)
Lineage: Eukaryota; Viridiplantae; Streptophyta; Magnoliopsida; Asterales; Asteraceae
Description: hypothetical non coding rna
Source: RNAcentral